UCCGGUUUGUCACCGGCAGUCUCGCAUGAGUCCCCAACUAAAUGCUGGCAACAUGCGACGGGGGUUGCGCUCGUUGCGGGACUUAACCCAACAUCUCACGACACGAGCUGACGACAGCCAUGCACCACCUGUGAGGGUCCGGCCGAACCGACCCCGUGUUUCCACGGGUGCGACCCACAUGUCAAGCCCAGGUAAGGUGGGGAUGACGUCGACGUCAUAACC
Molecule: unclassified non-coding RNA, 222 nt
Filed under: uncultured Solirubrobacteraceae bacterium
Lineage: Bacteria; Bacillati; Actinomycetota; Thermoleophilia; Solirubrobacterales; Solirubrobacteraceae
Description: contains 16S-23S intergenic spacer region
Source: RNAcentral